GCAGUCGAGGGGCUAAUUCUGCUUUCGGGCAGGAACGACCGGCGAACGGGCUGCGCUAACGCGUAUGCAACCUACCCACAACUGGGGGAUAGCCCGGAGAAAUUCGGAUUAAUACCUCAUAAUGCAGGGGUACCGCAUGGUACUAUUAGCUAAAGAUUUAUCGGUUGUGGAUGGGCAUGCGUCUGAUUAGUUAGUUGGUGAGGUAACGGCUCACCAAGGCGACGAUCAGUAGGGGGUCUGAGAGGAUGAUCCCCCACACUGGUACUGAGAUACGGACCAGACUCCUACGGGAGGCAGCAGUAGGGAAUAUUGGUCAAUGGGCGCAAGCCUGAACCAGCCAUGCCGCGUGCAGGAUGACGGCCUUCUGGGUUGUAAACUGCUUUUAUCAGGGAAGAAAACGGCCAUGCGUGGCAGAUUGACGGUACCUGAAGAAUAAGCACCGGCUAACUCCGUGCCAGCAGCCGCGGUAAUACGGAGGGUGCAAGCGUUGUCCGGAUUUAUUGGGUUUAAAGGGUGCGUAGGCGGAUUAUUAAGUCAGUGGUGAAAGUUUACGGCUCAACCGUAAAAGUGCCAUUGAUACUGGUAGUCUUGAGUACAGUAGAGGUAGGCGGAAUUUAUGGUGUAGCGGUGAAAUGCAUAGAUACCAUAAAGAACACCGAUAGCGAAGGCAGCUUACUAUACUGAGACUGACGCUGAGGCACGAAAGCGUGGGGAGCGAACAGGAUUAGAUACC
Molecule: ribosomal RNA, 733 nt
Filed under: uncultured Sphingobacteriia bacterium
Lineage: Bacteria; Pseudomonadati; Bacteroidota; Sphingobacteriia
Description: bacterial SSU rRNA
Rfam family: Bacterial small subunit ribosomal RNA
Source: RNAcentral